UACGAAGGGGGCUAGCGUUGUUCGGAAUUACUGGGCGUAAAGCGCACGUAGGCGGAUCGAUCAGUCAGGGGUGAAAUCCCAGGGCUCAACCCUGGAACUGCCUUUGAUACUGUCGAUCUGGAGUAUGGAAGAGGUGAGUGGAAUUCCGAGUGUAGAGGUGAAAUUCGUAGAUAUCAGGAGGAACACCGGUGGCGAAGGCGCUCAUCUGGCCCGAUACUGACGCUGAUGCGCGAAAGCUAGGGGAGCGAACGGG
Molecule: ribosomal RNA, 253 nt
Filed under: uncultured bacterium
Lineage: Bacteria
Description: partial 16S ribosomal RNA
Rfam family: Bacterial small subunit ribosomal RNA
Source: RNAcentral